Podarcis lilfordi (Lilford's wall lizard) is the source of this 72-nucleotide non-coding RNA. Lineage: Eukaryota; Metazoa; Chordata; Lepidosauria; Squamata; Lacertidae. The record is from the annotation of a GenBank genome assembly.
UCAUAACUGAGGCAGUAAAGCAUGAGAUUUUUAAUCUCGGGGUUGUGGGUUUGAGCCCCACAUUGGGCAAAA